UUUUUUUUCAUUUCUUUCUCUCCUCAUUGUUCCAAAGGCUCCUGCAGAUCUGGCAGUACGUGCAGGACACCUCCGUCCUGCAUACAGGAUGAUGGAGACUUCAUGGAUGUGGAGUCAGCACACCUGGGUUUUAAUCCAGCUGCUCUUGAUGUAGGAUUUGGACCACUUAAAUCUCUCAGUUUCAGUUUCUGUAAAAAUAAGAGAGAAAAUGCCCACUUUUGAAAUAUUGAAAAUAAUGUGUUCAGCUGGGCAUGAUGGCACACGCCUGUAAUCCCAGUGGCUCGGGAAGCUGAGGCAGGAGAAUCGUGAGUUCAAAGCCAGCCUCAGCUUAAGCAAGGUGCUAAGCAACUCAGUGAGACCCUGUCUCUAAACAAAUUCAAAAUAGGGCUGGAGAUGUGGCUCAGUGGUCAAGUGCCUCCGAGUUCAAUCCCCGGUACCCCCCAAAAAAGAAAGAAAGAAAAUAAUGUGUGCAAAAGUUCCUGGCAUUCUCAAUAAGAGGCAGUGAUUAUUAUUUUAAGUUCAUUACAUCUCCCUCUUCACUUCUCUCUCAGCCAUCAACCUCCUGCAGACUGCUUCUGUUCUGAAGAUCUUUAGCCAUGAGCUUCUGCCCAAAUUCAAUGACUUCUUUAAAAUUUUUCUUCUCUUUUACUUCUUCAGCAUUCGUGACAAUUAGCAUUGAUUUCCUGUGUCUCCUCCCCCAUUCUUCCUAUAGUUUUGGGAUGUCCUAGCUCAUAGAAGUCUAUGAGCUCCUUUAGGUCAAGAACAAUGCCUCAUUUUUUCUUAUUGCUCCAGCACAUGGAGAGGGUGUUUGGUAAAUGUUCAAAUGAAUGCGUUAGAAAAUCAAAACUGCUGAGAGCCAUAGCCAAGUAGGAAUGACACAUGGCAUUUUGGGUUGAAAGGUGACCCUGCUCAGAGAUUAGGGUGGCUCCAGGUUUAGAGUGGAUCCUGCUGGGAUUAGGGCGUAUCCUGCCACCUCAGGCGCCCGCUCCUUUGGAGUUCCUUUGAGUUCUCGCGGGGUUCUGAGAGAAGUGGUGCGCGGAGCUGAGUGGAGGCAGUGGGUUCACGAAAAGUGUGGGAGAGUGUCGGUGAGAGUUCGGGAAUAAAGAGUUGCUGUUGGAAUCUACAAGGCUAUGUGGUGGCUCGGUUAUUUUGUGUCCAGCCAGACUGCGGCACAAAACCAUGUCCAUUCUUACCCUCCUGCUCAAUGGCACCAAUCUCUCUAUUCCCCUUUAUUUAUAGAUUCUUUCAGGAUUUGAUUAUUUUUUCUUUAAUGAAUUCUCGGUUAGGAGUAAAAGUGGAACAACUAGUAGAAGUAAGAUCAUUCUAAG
This 1328-nucleotide long non-coding RNA is filed under the name Marmota monax (woodchuck). The record is from RNAcentral. Lineage: Eukaryota; Metazoa; Chordata; Mammalia; Rodentia; Sciuridae.